Long non-coding RNA from Ahaetulla prasina, 1849 nucleotides. RefSeq lists it as uncharacterized. The transcript has 3 exons. Lineage: Eukaryota; Metazoa; Chordata; Lepidosauria; Squamata; Colubridae. The record is from RefSeq and is a predicted model, not a curated record.
GCCGCAGUGGUACAGUGGUUAGAAUGCAGUCCUGCAGGUUACUCCUGCUGACUGCUGGCUGCCUGCAGUUUGGCAAUUCGAAUCUCACCAGGCUCAAGGCUGACUCAGCCUUCCAUCCUUCCGAGAGGACAAACUUACUCAGAUGAUCUCCAUUGCGCCUUUCCAACUUGAGAGGGACACGAAUCCUGUGGGCCACUUAUUUUUUCAUCUGAUUUUUCUUCUUCUACUAUCGAAAAUGAUGUGGUUGGAGAGAACGAACCAUCGUUGGCAUCCUAUAAAACUUUUAGCAACGGGGCUAAUGAAAUGCAAAGCUUUCGAACAGAAAAAGUGAACAAGAAAGAAAGAAAUUGCAUAAGAAGCUGAAAAUGCAAUAAGAAAAGAAAACAGGAGAAAACAGAAAAGAACAACCUAGAAAAUAAAAUAUAAAGAAGAGGCUUCCAAUAUGCUCCACAGCUGUUGUAAGUAGAAUUAUAGUUACGGUAAUUGUACUUGUGACUCCUGGCUACUGGUCCUUAGGAUUCCAUCUUGUCAUCAUGCUGUUCAAAGAAUUGCUUGGAAGACUCUGAUCUAAAUGUAAAUCAUGUGACCUUUCCAUGCUGCCACGGUCACAGCUGCGAAAAAUGGUCUUAAGUCACUUUUUUCAGCGCAGUUGCAACUUUGAAUGGUCACUAAAUGAACGGUUGUAAGUCAAAGAGUACCUGUAUGUUACUUGUGGUUCUGUGGAUUUGAUUAUUGGUUGUUUGGUUAUUGUUAUUGUGCAUUUUAUUAUUACUGUAUUGCGGAUUUUUCAAUUAUGCCUUUCCCAUUUGCGAGUGACUGGUUCAAAGACACCCAGUCAGCUUUCAUGCCUAAGAUGAGACUAGAACUCACAGGCUUCUGGUUUCUAGCCUGGUGUCUUAACCACUACACCAAAACCAGCUCUCUUUGUCCAAUUUGCCAGCAUAUCAAUCAAUCAGUCAAUCAAUCAAAUAAUUUGGCCGCAUUGUUUCUAUCAGCCACAGAGAUAAUUCUGAAUCACAAUGUCAAAUAAGUGAUACGUUUGGGCAUCAUCUUCAUUGCUCAGCUUUACUCAACAAUACCACUAAAGCACUCUGGGGUUUAAUUCUCAGAAGAAAAAUUAUGGAGGAUUAUAAUAGCAAUUAAAUAACACAACACAACUAUAUAACAAUAUAAUCUAACAUAAUGUAAUGCAACACAACAUAACUUAACAUAACAUAGCGUAACAUAAAGCACAGCAUAUAACAUAACUUAACACCACAUAUAACAAAACACAACAAACAUAACAUAACAUAAAACAUAAGAUGAGAUAACAAAACAUCAUGACAACAUAACAACAUAACAUAGCAUAGGUAGCAUAGCGUAGCAUAACAUAAAACAUAAGGUAAAAUAAGAUAACAAAACAUCAUAUAACCUAACCUAACCUAACCUAAUGUAACGUAGUGUAGCGUAGCAUAGCAUAACAUAACACAACACAACACAACACAUAACGUAACUUAACACCACCUAUAACAUAACACAACAAACAUAACAUAAACAUAAGAUAAGAUAAUAAAACAUCAUAACAUGAUAACAUAACAUAACAGCAUAAAAUAUAAGAUAACAACACAACACAUAACAUAACAACAUAAUACAACAUAUAACAACACGAUUUACCACAUACAUAACACAACAAACACAGCAUAAUAUAAAACAUAAGAUAAGAUAAAAAACAUCAUAAUAUGACAACAUAACAUAACAACAUAAAUCAUAAGAUAACAACCAUAACAUAAUGUAACAUAACUUAAGGUAACGUAUCAUAAAAUCAGUCAGUCCUGCAAUCAACCCUCACAUUUUCCUGUUUCAGUUACUG